GGUUAAGUUAGAAAGGGCGCACGGUGGAUGCCUUGGCACUAGGAGCCGAAGAAGGACGGGACUAACACCGAUAUGCUUUGGGGAGCUGUACGUAAGCGUUGAUCCAGAGAUUUCCGAAUGGGGGAACCCACUAUCUUUAGUCGGAUAGUAUCCUUACGUGAAUACAUAGCGUGAGGAAGGCAGACCCAGGGAACUGAAACAUCUAAGUACCUGGAGGAAGAGAAAGAAAAAUCGAUUUCCUGAGUAGCGGCGAGCGAAACGGAAAGAGCCCAAACCAAGAAGCUUGCUUCUUGGGGUUGUAGGACACUCUAUACGGAGUUACAAAAGAAAGUUAUAAAUGAAGCGGUCUGGAAAGGCCCGCCAAAGACGGUAACAGCCCGGUAGUUGAAAUGGCUUUCCCUCCAGAGUGGAUCCUGAGUACGGCGGAACACGUGAAAUUCCGUCGGAAUCCGGGAGGACCAUCUCCCAAGGCUAAAUACUCCCUAGUGACCGAUAGUGAACCAGUACCGUGAGGGAAAGGUGAAAAGCACCCCGGAAGGGGAGUGAAACAGUUCCUGAAACCGUGUGCCUACAAGUAGUUAGAGCCCGUUAAUGGGUGAUAGCGUGCCUUUUGUAGAAUGAACCGGCGAGUUACGAUUUGUUGCAAGGUUAAGCGGAAAAAGCGGAGCCGUAGCGAAAGCGAGUCUGAAUAGGGCGCAUAAGUAACAGGUCGUAGACCCGAAACCAGGUGAUCUACCCAUGUCCAGGAUGAAGGUAAGGUAAUACUUACUGGAGGUCCGAACCCACGCACGUUGAAAAGUGCGGGGAUGAGGUGUGGGUAGCGGAGAAAUUCCAAUCGAACUUGGAGAUAGCUGGUUCUCUCCGAAAUAGCUUUAGGGCUAGCCUCGAGGUAAAGAGUCAUGGAGGUAGAGCACUGUUUGGACUAGGGGCCCUUCUCGGGUUACCGAAUUCAGAUAAACUCCGAAUGCCAUGUACUUAUACUCGGGAGUCAGACUGCGAGUGAUAAGAUCCGUAGUCGAAAGGGAAACAGCCCAGACCACCAGUUAAGGUCCCCAAAUAUAUGUUAAGUGGAAAAGGAUGUGGGGUUGCUUAGACAACCAGGAUGUUGGCUUAGAAGCAGCCACCAUUGAAAGAGUGCGUAAUAGCUCACUGGUCGAGUGACCCCGCGCCGAAAAUGUACCGGGGCUAAACAUAUUACCGAAACUGUGGAUGAACCUCUUUAGAGGUUCGUGGUAGGAGAGCGUUCUAAGGGCGGUGAAGUCAGACCGGAAGGACUGGUGGAGCGCUUAGAAGUGAGAAUGCCGGUAUGAGUAGCGAAAGAAGGGUGAGAAUCCCUUCCACCGAAUAUCUAAGGUUUCCUGAGGAAGGCUCGUCCGCUCAGGGUUAGUCGGGACCUAAGCCGAGGCCGAUAGGCGUAGGCGAUGGACAACAGGUAGAGAUUCCUGUACCAGUGCUAAUUGUUUAACCGAUGGGGUGACACAGAAGGAUAGGGAAUCGCACGAAUGGAAAUGUGCGUCCAAGCAGUGAGUGUGAGAAGUAGGCAAAUCCGCUUCUCGCGAAGCAUGAGCUGUGAUGGGGAAGGAAAUUAAGUACGGAAGUUCCUGAUUUCACGCUGUCAAGAAAAGCCUCUAGGAAGAGUAGUACUGCCCGUACCGCAAACCGACACAGGUAGAUGAGGAGAGAAUCCUAAGGUGAGCGAGAGAACUCUCGUUAAGGAACUCGGCAAAAUGACCCCGUAACUUCGGGAGAAGGGGUGCUCUAUUAGGGUGCAAGCCCGAGAGAGCCGCAGUGAAUAGGCCCAGGCGACUGUUUAGCAAAAACACAGGUCUCUGCAAAACCGUAAGGUGACGUAUAGGGGCUGACGCCUGCCCGGUGCUGGAAGGUUAAGAGGAGUGCUUAGCUUCGGCGAAGGUACGAAUUGAAGCCCCAGUAAACGGCGGCCGUAACUAUAACGGUCCUAAGGUAGCGAAAUUCCUUGUCGGGUAAGUUCCGAC
Molecule: ribosomal RNA, 1994 nt
Filed under: Listeria monocytogenes
Lineage: Bacteria; Bacillati; Bacillota; Bacilli; Caryophanales; Listeriaceae
Description: partial 23S ribosomal RNA
Rfam family: Bacterial large subunit ribosomal RNA
Source: RNAcentral